GCAGCCGCGGUAAUACGUAGGGUGCAAGCGUUAUCCGGAUUUAUUGGGCGUAAAGGGCUCGUAGGCGGUUCGUCGCGUCCGGUGUGAAAGUCCAUCGCUUAACGGUGGAUCCGCGCCGGGUACGGGCGGGCUUGAGUGCGGUAGGGGAGACUGGAAUUCCCGGUGUAACGGUGGAAUGUGUAGAUAUCGGGAAGAACACCAAUGGCGAAGGCAGGUCUCUGGGCCGUUACUGACGCUGAGGAGCGAAAGCGUGGGGAGCGAACAGGAUUAGAUACCCC
RNAcentral lists this ribosomal RNA (278 nucleotides) under uncultured Bifidobacterium sp. RNAcentral describes it as "partial 16S ribosomal RNA". It matches the Rfam family "Bacterial small subunit ribosomal RNA", at positions 511 to 788 of the family's 1533-position model. The record is from RNAcentral. Lineage: Bacteria; Bacillati; Actinomycetota; Actinomycetes; Bifidobacteriales; Bifidobacteriaceae.